Molecule: ribosomal RNA, 388 nt
Filed under: uncultured bacterium
Lineage: Bacteria
Description: bacterial SSU rRNA
Rfam family: Bacterial small subunit ribosomal RNA
Source: RNAcentral
AACGAACGCUGGCGGCAGGCCUUACACAUGCAAGUCGAACGGCAGCACGGGAGCAAUCCUGGUGGCGAGUGGCGAACGGGUGAGUAAUAUAUCGGAACGUGCCCGGUCGUGGGGGGAUAACGUAGCGAAAGCUACGCUAAUACCGCAUACGAUCUAUGGAUGAAAGCGGGGGAUCGCAAGACCUCGCGCGAUUGGAGCGGCCGAUAUCAGAUUAGGUAGUUGGUGAGGUAAAAGGCUCACCAAGCCGACGAUCGGUAGCUGGUCUGAGAGGAUGACCAGCCACACUGGGACUGAGACACGGUCCAGACUCCUACGGGAGGCAGCAGUGGGGAAUAUUGGACAAUGGGCGAAAGACCUGAUCCAGCAAUGCCGCGUGAGUGAUGAAGGC